GGGGAUGUGGCACAAGCGGUAGCGCGCUCGCCUGGCAAGCGUGCGGCCCGAGUUCGAUCCUCAGCACCA
RNAcentral lists this transfer RNA (69 nucleotides) under Ictidomys tridecemlineatus (thirteen-lined ground squirrel). Its description in RNAcentral is "Spermophilus tridecemlineatus (thirteen-lined ground squirrel) tRNA". It matches the Rfam family "tRNA". Rfam says of the family: Transfer RNA (tRNA) molecules are approximately 80 nucleotides in length. Their secondary structure includes four short double-helical elements and three loops (D, anti-codon, and T loops). Lineage: Eukaryota; Metazoa; Chordata; Mammalia; Rodentia; Sciuridae. The record is from Rfam by way of RNAcentral.